RNAcentral lists this ribosomal RNA (175 nucleotides) under Salmonella enterica. Its description in RNAcentral is "partial 23S ribosomal RNA". It matches the Rfam family "Bacterial large subunit ribosomal RNA", at positions 2756 to 2925 of the family's 2925-position model. Lineage: Bacteria; Pseudomonadati; Pseudomonadota; Gammaproteobacteria; Enterobacterales; Enterobacteriaceae. The record is from RNAcentral. RNAcentral also lists the same sequence under 1 other name.
CGGAAGAGAUAAGUGCUGAAAGCAUCUAAGCACGAAACUUGCCCCGAGAUGAGUUCUCCCUGAGACUUUAGGUCUCCUGAAGGAACGUUGAAGACGACGACGUUGAUAGGCCGGGUGUGUAAGCGCAGCGAUGCGUUGAGCUAACCGGUACUAAUGAACCGUGAGGCUUAACCUU